AAAUAAUGCACCAAUAUAUCCACAUACUUGCUUUGACACGAUUCCUAAUUGACAUCGUCUUGUGUUUUAAUAAUCUGAUUAAAAGUAGUUC
Molecule: long non-coding RNA, 91 nt
Organism: Poecilia latipinna (sailfin molly)
Lineage: Eukaryota; Metazoa; Chordata; Actinopteri; Cyprinodontiformes; Poeciliidae
Exons: 3
Source: RefSeq, a predicted model, not a curated record